AAGUCGUAACAAGGUUUCCGUAGGUGAACCUGCGGAAGGAUCAUUAACUAAUACUUGGUGGGUGUAAACCCCCAUAAACCUUUGUGCAUUGGCUAUAAUGCAGUGUGCGUGAUAGUAUAUCACUGCAUGCUGCUGUAGUUUAUCUAGAAAUUUUAUUAGAGUCUAAUUAUUAAUAUUUUAAUAAUACAACUUUUAACAAUGGAUCUCUAGGCUCUU
Molecule: unclassified non-coding RNA, 216 nt
Filed under: Phylloporus sp.
Lineage: Eukaryota; Fungi; Basidiomycota; Agaricomycetes; Boletales; Boletaceae
Description: partial contains small subunit ribosomal RNA, internal transcribed spacer 1, and 5.8S ribosomal RNA
Rfam family: Eukaryotic small subunit ribosomal RNA (bases 1-46)
Source: RNAcentral